RNAcentral lists this transfer RNA (69 nucleotides) under Scaptochirus moschatus (short-faced mole). RNAcentral describes it as "tRNA-Gly". Lineage: Eukaryota; Metazoa; Chordata; Mammalia; Eulipotyphla; Talpidae. The record is from RNAcentral.
AUUCUUUUAGUAUUAAUAAGUACAGUUGACUUCCAAUCAACCAGUCUUGGUGUAACCCAAGAAAGAAUA